This 305-nucleotide ribosomal RNA is filed under the name uncultured bacterium. Its description in RNAcentral is "bacterial SSU rRNA". It matches the Rfam family "Bacterial small subunit ribosomal RNA", at positions 337 to 640 of the family's 1533-position model. The record is from RNAcentral.
UCCUACGGGACGCAGCAGUGAGGAAUAUUGGUCAAUGGCCGGAAGGCUGAACCAGCCAAGUCGCGUGAGGGACGACUGCCCUAUGGGUUGUAAACCUCUUUUAUAAGGGAAGAAUAAAUGCUACGUGUAGCAUGAUGCCUGUACCUUAUGAAUAAGCAUCGGCUAACUCCGUGCCAGCAGCCGCGGUAAUACGGAGGAUGCGAGCGUUAUCCGGAUUUAUUGGGUUUAAAGGGUGCGUAGGCGGUUUUUUAAGUUAGUGUUUAAACGUCGGGGCUUCACCUUUAUUUGCCUUUAAUUCUGUAAGA